This 274-nucleotide long non-coding RNA is filed under the name Linum usitatissimum (flax). RNAcentral's name for it is "long non-coding RNA (LUSI_LNC000747)". Lineage: Eukaryota; Viridiplantae; Streptophyta; Magnoliopsida; Malpighiales; Linaceae. The record is from RNAcentral.
CCCACAGAGUGUAUGCAGCUGCAACAUAAGGAAGGAGUCACAAUUCUGCCAAAGAAUAUGAAAGGCAUAACACCAACUAAGUCUAAAAACCAUACCUGUUGGCAUUUAAUAUCAGGAUCUGCAGAAGCCCAAUAAAACAGGGCACCAUCAUCCAUAAGAGCCAGGCUAUGCACCAUCCCAGCAGCAAUAGCUACAGCAUGAAGACGCUCCAUGCGGUGAAACUUCAGAGGGGUACCACCACUUUUCUUCAGAUUUCUUGAAACGAUAACACGUC